CCUACGGGAGGCUGCAGUAGGGAAUCUUCGGCAAUGGACGAAAGUCUGACCGAGCAACGCCGCGUGAGUGAAGAAGGUUUUCGGAUCGUAAAACUCUGUUGGUAGAGAAGAACGUUGGUGAGAGUGGAAAGCUCAUCAAGUGACGGUAACUACCCAGAAAGGGACGGCUAACUACGUGACAGCAGCCGCGGUAAUACGUAGGUCCCGAGCGGUGUCCGGAUUUAUUGGGCGUAAGGCGGGCGGAGGUGGUUUAUUAAGUCUGGUGUAAAAGGCAGUGGCUCAACCAUUGUAUGCAAUGGAAACUGGUAGACUUGAGUGCAGGAGAGGAGGGUGGAAUUCCAUGAGUAGCGGUGAAAUGCGUAGAUAUAUGGAGGAACACCGGUGGCGAAGGCGGCUCUCUGGCCUGUAACUGACACUGAGGCUCGAGAGCGUGGGGAGCAAACAGGAUUAGAUACCCGUGUAGUC
RNAcentral lists this ribosomal RNA (465 nucleotides) under uncultured bacterium. RNAcentral describes it as "partial 16S ribosomal RNA". It matches the Rfam family "Bacterial small subunit ribosomal RNA", at positions 338 to 795 of the family's 1533-position model. The record is from RNAcentral.